RNAcentral lists this long non-coding RNA (201 nucleotides) under Gossypium barbadense (sea-island cotton). RNAcentral's name for it is "long non-coding RNA (GBAR_LNC003273)". The record is from RNAcentral. Lineage: Eukaryota; Viridiplantae; Streptophyta; Magnoliopsida; Malvales; Malvaceae.
AAUUACAUGGUAAGACUAGAGUAAGGGACUUAUUAAAUAAGUAGACCAUUAUUUAUAUAAGUUAUUGAUAGUGGAUGCUUAUGAUUGAUAUUAUUUAUUAUAUGUUAAAUAUAUUAUAAUAUUUAACUAGUAAAUCAUGUUAAAAUUAAAAUGAAAAUGAAAUAAUAAAGAAUAGGAAACAAAUAACUUAGUGGAAAAGAG